UACGGGGGGUGCAAGCGUUGUUCGGAAUUAUUGGGCGUAAAGCGUGUCUCGGCGGAUUGAUAAGUCAGAUGUUAAAGAUCCCGGCUCAACUGGGAAUCUGCGUUUGAUACUGUUAGUCUUGAGUCAAGGAGGGAUGAGCGGAAUUCCUGGUGUAGCAGUGAAAUGCGUAGAUAUCAGGAGGAACACCGGUGGCGAAAGCGGCUCAUUGGCCUUGUACUGACGCUAAAGCACGAAAGCGUGGGGAUCAAACAGG
Molecule: ribosomal RNA, 253 nt
Filed under: uncultured bacterium
Lineage: Bacteria
Description: partial 16S ribosomal RNA
Rfam family: Bacterial small subunit ribosomal RNA
Source: RNAcentral